GACGAACGCUGGCGGCGUGCUUAACACAUGCAAGUCGAGCGGUAAGGCCCUUUCGGGGGUACACGAGCGGCGAACGGGUGAGUAACACGUGGGUGACCUGCCCUUAGCUCUGGGAUAAGCCUGGGAAACUGGGUCUAAUACCGGAUAUGACUCCAUGACGCAUGUUGUGGGGUGGAAAGCCUUGUGCGGCUAGGGAUGGGCCCGCGGCCUAUCAGCUUGUUGGUGGGGGUGAUGGCCUACCAAGGCGACGACGGGUAGCCGGCCUGAGAGGGCGACCGGCCACACUGGGACUGAGACACGGCCCAGACUCCUACGGGAGGCAGCAGUGGGGAAUCUUGCGCAAUGGGCGAAAGCCUGACGCAGCGACGCCGCGUGAGGGAUGACGGCCUCGGUUGUAAC
RNAcentral lists this ribosomal RNA (399 nucleotides) under uncultured bacterium. RNAcentral describes it as "bacterial SSU rRNA". It matches the Rfam family "Bacterial small subunit ribosomal RNA", at positions 28 to 429 of the family's 1533-position model. The record is from RNAcentral.